Molecule: ribosomal RNA, 327 nt
Filed under: uncultured eukaryote
Lineage: Eukaryota
Description: partial 18S ribosomal RNA
Rfam family: Eukaryotic small subunit ribosomal RNA
Source: RNAcentral
CCCUUAGAUGUUCUGGGCCGCACGCGCGCUACACUGACGAAUGCAACGAGCUUAUAACCUUGGCCGAAAGGUCUGGGUAAUCUCCAAAUUUCGUCGUGAUGGGGAUAGAUUAUUGCAAUUAUUAAUCUUCAACGAGGAAUGCCUAGUAAGCGCCAGUCAUCAGCUUGCGUUGAUUACGUCCCUGCCCUUUGUACACACCGCCCGUCGCUCCUACCGAUUGAAUGGUCCGGUGAAGCGUUCGGACCGUGGCCUUUGGACGGUUCGCCGUCUGUUGGCUGCGGGAAGUUCGUUAAACCUUAUCAUUUAGAGGAAGGAGAAGUCGUANCA